GGGGGUAUAGCUUAGUGGUAGAGCAGUCGACUGCAGAUCGAAAGAUCCCCGGUUCGAGUCCGGGUACCCCCU
Molecule: transfer RNA, 72 nt
Organism: Anopheles darlingi
Lineage: Eukaryota; Metazoa; Arthropoda; Insecta; Diptera; Culicidae
Rfam family: tRNA
About the family: Transfer RNA (tRNA) molecules are approximately 80 nucleotides in length. Their secondary structure includes four short double-helical elements and three loops (D, anti-codon, and T loops).
Source: Rfam